GAUGAACGCUGGCGGCGUGCCUAAUACAUGCAAGUCGAGCGAACAGACGAGGAGCUUGCUCCUCUGACGUUAGCGGCGGACGGGUGAGUAACAUGUGGAUAACCUACCUAUAAGACUGGGAUAACUUCGGGAAACCGGAGCUAAUACCGGAUAAUAUAUUGAACCGCAUGGUUCAAUAGUGAAAGACGGUUUUGCUGUCACUUAUAGAUGGAUCCGCACCGCAUUAGCUAGUUGGUAAGGUAACGGCUUACCAAGGCGACGAUGCGUAGCCGACCUGAGAGGGGGAUCGGCCACACUGGAACUGAGACACGGUCCAGACUCCUACGGGAGGCAGCAGUAGGGAAUCUUCCGCAAUGGGCGAAAGCCUGACGGAGCAACGCCGCGUGAGUGAUGAAGGUCUUCGGAUCGUAAAGCUCUGUUAUUAGGGAAGAACAAAUGUGUAAGUAACUAUGCACGUCUUGACGGUACCUGAUCAGAAAGCCACGGCUAACUACGUG
RNAcentral lists this ribosomal RNA (497 nucleotides) under uncultured bacterium. Its description in RNAcentral is "partial 16S ribosomal RNA". It matches the Rfam family "Bacterial small subunit ribosomal RNA", at positions 28 to 507 of the family's 1533-position model. The record is from RNAcentral.